Tachyglossus aculeatus (Australian echidna) is the source of this 138-nucleotide small nucleolar RNA. The record is from RefSeq and is a predicted model, not a curated record. NCBI's taxonomy places the organism in Eukaryota, Metazoa, Chordata, Mammalia, Monotremata, Tachyglossidae.
CCCCUCUCAGGGUUGCACCUGGAGAGUUUCCAGUACUCUACCAGUCUCAAGUAUGGGAGGGAGAAUCAAGCAGACACACACCCACUCCAUUCCUAGCUCAGCCUGUGGCUAGCAAGUGGAAGGCAAUCUGCUGCAAGU